This 468-nucleotide ribosomal RNA is filed under the name uncultured bacterium. RNAcentral's name for it is "partial 16S ribosomal RNA". It matches the Rfam family "Bacterial small subunit ribosomal RNA", at positions 28 to 507 of the family's 1533-position model. The record is from RNAcentral.
GACGAACGCUGGCGGCGUGCUUAACACAUGCAAGUCGAACGGAAAGGCCCUGCUUUUGUGGUGUGCUCGAGUGGCGAACGGGUGAGUAACACGUGAGUAACCUGCCCUUGACUUUGGGAUAACUUCAGGAAACUGGGGCUAAUACCGGAUAGGAGCUCCUGCUGCAUGGUGGGGGUUGGAAAGUUUCGGCGGUUGGGGAUGGACUCGCGGCUUAUCAGCUUGUUGGUGGGGUAGUGGCUUACCAAGGCUUUGACGGGUAGCCGGCCUGAGAGGGUGACCGGCCACAUUGGGACUGAGAUACGGCCCAGACUCCUACGGGAGGCAGCAGUGGGGAAUAGUGCACAAUGGGCGGAAGCCUGAUGCAGCAACGCCGCGUGCGGGAUGACGGCCUUCGGGUUGUAAACCGCUUUCGCCUGGGACGAAGCGUGAGUGACGGUAAUGGGUAAAGAAGCACCGGCUAACUACGUG